This 433-nucleotide ribosomal RNA is filed under the name uncultured bacterium. RNAcentral describes it as "partial 16S ribosomal RNA". It matches the Rfam family "Bacterial small subunit ribosomal RNA", at positions 29 to 507 of the family's 1533-position model. The record is from RNAcentral.
AACGAACGCUGGCGGCAUGCCUAACACAUGCAAGUCGAACGAGACCUUCGGGUCUAGGGGCGCACGGGUGCGUAACGCGUGGGAACCUGCCCUUAGGUUCGGAAUAACUCCCCGAAAGGGGUGCUAAUACCGGAUAAUGUCUUCGGACCAAAGAUUUAUCGCCUUUGGAUGGGCCCGCGUUGGAUUAGCUAGUUGGUAGGGUAAAAGCCUACCAAGGCGACGAUCCAUAGCUGGUCUGAGAGGAUGCUCAGCCACACUGGGACUGAGACACGGCCCAGACUCCUCCGGGAGGCAGCAGUGGGGAAUAUUGGAAAAUGGGCGAAAGCCUGAUCCAGCAAUGCCGCGUGAGUGAUGAAGGCCUUAGGGUUGUAAAGCUCUUUUACCCGGGAUGAUAAUGACAGUACCGGGAGAAUAAGCCCCGGCUAACUCCGUG